Molecule: ribosomal RNA, 503 nt
Filed under: uncultured bacterium
Lineage: Bacteria
Description: partial 16S ribosomal RNA
Rfam family: Bacterial small subunit ribosomal RNA
Source: RNAcentral
AUUGAACGCUGGCGGCAGGCUUAACACAUGCAAGUCGAGCGGAGUGAUGGUGCUUGCACUAUCACUUAGCGGCGGACGGGUGAGUAAUGCUUAGGAAUCUGCCUAUUAGUGGGGGACAACAUCUCGAAAGGGAUGCUAAUACCGCAUACGUCCUACGGGAGAAAGCAGGGGAUCACUUGUGACCUUGCGCUAAUAGAUGAGCGUAAGUCGGAUUAGCUAGUUGGUGGGGUAAAGGCCUACCAAGGCGACGAUCUGUAGCGGGUCUGAGAGGAUGAUCCGCCACACUGGGACUGAGACACGGCCCAGACUCCUACGGGAGGCAGCAGUGGGGAAUAUUGGACAAUGGGGGGAACCCUGAUCCAGCCAUGCCGCGUGUGUGAAGAAGGCCUUAUGGUUGUAAAGCACUUUAAGCGAGGAGGAGGCUCCUUUGGUUAAUACCCAAGAUGAGUGGACGUUACUCGCAGAAUAAGCACCGGCUAACUCUGUGCCAGCAGCCGCAGUAA